GAUCAACGCUGGCGGCGUGCCUAACGCAUGCAAGUCGGACGGGCCGGGGGAGACCCUGGUGCCGUGGCGGACGGGUGCGUAACACGUGGGGAACCUGCCCUUGGGUGGGGGGUAGCCCGCGGAAACGCGGGGUAAUUCCGCAUACGCUUCCCUGGCGGUGGGCUGGGGAAGGAAAGCCGGGAACGGCGCCCGAGGAGGGUCCUGCGGCCGAUUAGCUAGUUGGUGGGGUCACGGCCUACCAAGGCGAUGAUCGGUAGCUGGUCUGAGAGGACGGCCA
RNAcentral lists this ribosomal RNA (277 nucleotides) under uncultured bacterium. RNAcentral's name for it is "partial 16S ribosomal RNA". It matches the Rfam family "Bacterial small subunit ribosomal RNA", at positions 28 to 306 of the family's 1533-position model. The record is from RNAcentral.